This 631-nucleotide long non-coding RNA is filed under the name Homo sapiens (human). Its description in RNAcentral is "non-protein coding lnc-RPL30-3:1". Lineage: Eukaryota; Metazoa; Chordata; Mammalia; Primates; Hominidae. The record is from RNAcentral.
UCUUUCCUUUCUCGUUCCCCGGCCAUCUUAGCGGCUGCUGUUGGUUGGGGGCCGUCCCGCUCCUAAGGCAGGAAGAUGGUGGCCGCAAAGAAGACGGUGAGUGAGGCGGGCCAGGCCCGGAAGACGAUUCACGUGGAGAGAUGUCUUGGCCAGGGCGGGCAGAUGUGAGCCCACGGGGGUGACAGCAUGCCUGCUGGCAUUUGGAGGGCCCCAGAAGGAAUCCCAGUGGCCCUCUCAAUGACUUGGGGUCCUCGACUUCGGAAGUUUAAGGGGCUCGGCUUCAAAAAGCUGGGUCCGGUUUUGAGGCGGUUGCAGGCGAGGCCCUUAGGUCCGUAUUUAAUGUUUGCUUUGUAGAAAAAGUCGCUGGAGUCGAUCAACUCUAGGCUCCAACUCGUUAUGAAAAGUGGGAAGUACGUCCUGGGGUACAAGCAGACUCUGAAGAUGAUCAGACAAGGCAAAGCGAAAUUGGUCAUUCUCGCUAACAACUGCCCAGCUUUGAGGAAAUCUGAAAUAGAGUACUAUGCUAUGUUGGCUAAAACUGGUGUCCAUCACUACAGUGGCAAUAAUAUUGAACUGGGCACAGCAUGCGGAAAAUACUACAGAGUGUGCACACUGGCUAUCAUUGAUCCAG